ACAACUACGAUAAAGCAGUCUUAUCUAGCGCCUGGGCUAUAGGCUGCCUGCUGCAUUACAUGAUGACCGGAGACUUGGUCAACUACUUCGAUGUUAAAGUCAAGGGCAAGAUUUCGCUUCCACCCAGCUUAAUGAGAGACUGCCGAGAUCUGAUCACAAAGUGUCUGAGACAAAACAUGACGCUUGAUCAGUUCUUACAACACGACUGGAUGAAGAGAGCGUAGAAUGAAGACGAGACACGAUACAGAUGAAGAAAGCAGCAAGGUCUUCUGCAGAAAAUUAACAAAACAUUUCUAUAAAAAAACUCAUAAAAACCAACACAAACGUCAUAAAGAAGCCAAGAAGAACCCACAUCUAACUGAUCCAGAACCAGAGCCUGAUCCAGAGUCUGUCCUGAGACCCAAACACUGCAGGAUCAGCGUCGUCAUCAGUGCCAGGAAACUGCCUCUUCUGUGCAGGCAGAAAUGGAAACCCGUGAUGGACUCUGAGGAUGUGGAUGGUUAAAUCUGAGUGCAUUUUGAGGAGGACGUGUUGUUCCUCUAGAGGAUGAGGAUGAAGAAACACCAGCACCAGAACAAAGCAUUGGGUCAGGUUUAUAUGAUAAGCAGAAGGUUUAAAACAAUAAUGAAUUACAAAACUGUUAAAAAAUGAGCAAGCAUUACUAAUCUGGCAAAUAAAUCCCCUGAACACAAAUGAAGAGAACUUUAGAUGAAAUCAGAGAGCUCCCUCAUCCUUCAUGGACAGCAACAGCCCCAAGUUGCUCAGAAACAAAGUCCAGAA
Molecule: long non-coding RNA, 780 nt
Filed under: Danio rerio (zebrafish)
Lineage: Eukaryota; Metazoa; Chordata; Actinopteri; Cypriniformes; Danionidae
Description: si:ch211-262h13.4 (si:ch211-262h13.4)
Source: RNAcentral